RNAcentral lists this transfer RNA (72 nucleotides) under Dreissena polymorpha. It matches the Rfam family "tRNA". From Rfam's summary of the family: Transfer RNA (tRNA) molecules are approximately 80 nucleotides in length. Their secondary structure includes four short double-helical elements and three loops (D, anti-codon, and T loops). Lineage: Eukaryota; Metazoa; Mollusca; Bivalvia; Myida; Dreissenidae. The record is from Rfam by way of RNAcentral.
GGUUCCAUGGUGUUAUGGUUAGUACUCAAGACUCUGAAUCUUGCAAUCCGAGUUCAAAUCUCGGUGGAACCU